This 159-nucleotide ribosomal RNA is filed under the name uncultured bacterium. Its description in RNAcentral is "partial 16S ribosomal RNA". The record is from RNAcentral.
ACCCGGAAAGGCUUCUUAAAUUGAAGUUUGAAAUGGUUUAGAGUCCGUCUGUCGCCUUCCUUAACCAGGCACCUGUUAGCACUUCCGGGGCAGCUGGCGGCCAGUGGCGUUAUCGUGUUAGAAUUUCUAAACAUAUCUAAGAGGGAUAACAUCUGACGC